UACGUAGGUGGCAAGCGUUACUCGGAAUCACUGGGCGUAAAGCGCAGGUAGGCGGUUUGUUACGUCUUUUGUGAAAGCUCCUGGCUCAACUGGGAGAGGUCAAAGGAAACUACCAGGCUAGAGUGUGGUAGGGGAUACUGGAAUUCCUGGUGUAGCGGUGAAAUGCGCAGAUAUCAGGAGGAAUACCUAUGGCGAAAGCAGGUAUCUGGGCCAUCACUGACGCUGAGCUGCGAAAGCGAGGGGAGCAAACAGG
RNAcentral lists this ribosomal RNA (253 nucleotides) under uncultured bacterium. Its description in RNAcentral is "partial 16S ribosomal RNA". It matches the Rfam family "Bacterial small subunit ribosomal RNA", at positions 524 to 776 of the family's 1533-position model. The record is from RNAcentral.